GGUUGUGAGGGCGAUCUGGCUGUGAAACCUUUCACCCCAUUGAUCGCCAGGGUUGACCAGGCUGAUCUGGCUGGCUAGGUGGGCAUCCUCAUCCUCCCUCAGCACUCCAUGUGCGUCCCUUCCGAAGCUGCAUGCUUGGUCAAAGACAUUCCGCACUAGAGGACCAUUCUUCGGUCAGGGAUAUAUGAGGGAAGCGGAUUUGGCUCAACUGAUAAGAGUAUCUGUCUACCAUAUGGGAGGUCCAGGGUUC
RNAcentral lists this small RNA (250 nucleotides) under Dasypus novemcinctus (nine-banded armadillo). RNAcentral's name for it is "7SK RNA (ENSDNOG00000028056.1)". The stretch from base 1 to 191 matches the Rfam family "7SK RNA". From Rfam's summary of the family: 7SK was discovered as an abundant small nuclear RNA in the mid-70s but a possible function has only recently been suggested. The record is from RNAcentral. Lineage: Eukaryota; Metazoa; Chordata; Mammalia; Cingulata; Dasypodidae.